RNAcentral lists this ribosomal RNA (429 nucleotides) under Bacteroidota bacterium. RNAcentral describes it as "Bacteroidetes bacterium partial 16S ribosomal RNA". It matches the Rfam family "Bacterial small subunit ribosomal RNA", at positions 355 to 776 of the family's 1533-position model. Lineage: Bacteria; Pseudomonadati; Bacteroidota. The record is from RNAcentral.
UAGGGAAUCUUCCGCAAUGGACGCAAGUCUGACGGAGCAACGCCGCGUGAGUGAAGAAGGAUUUCGGUUCGUAAAACUCUGUUGUUAAGGAAGAACGAGUGUGAGAAUGGAAAGUUCAUACUGUGACGGUACUUAAUCAGAAAGGGACGGCUAACUACGUGCCAGCAGCCGCGGUAAUACGUAGGUCCCGAGCGUUGUCCGGAUUUAUUGGGCGUAAAGCGAGCGCAGGCGGUUAGCUAAGUCUGAAGUUAAAGGCAGUGGCUCAACCAUUGUAGGCUUUGUAAACUGUUUAACUUGACUGCAGAAGGGGGGAGUAGAAAUCCAUGUGUAUCGGUGAAAUGCGUAGAUAUCUGGAGGAACGCCGGUGGCGAAAGGGGCUCUCUGGUCUGUAACUGACGCUGAGGCUCGAAAGAGUGGGGAGCGAACAGG